This is a long non-coding RNA of Neofelis nebulosa (Clouded leopard), 517 nucleotides long. RefSeq lists it as uncharacterized. The transcript has 2 exons. Lineage: Eukaryota; Metazoa; Chordata; Mammalia; Carnivora; Felidae. The record is from RefSeq and is a predicted model, not a curated record.
GGGACGGGGGGACGGAUCAGGAGGGGUGGGACCGCCCUGCUCACCGUGGCACCGGGACCGGGGUCCCUAUCACACCCUAAGCCCCGGGUUCCUGUCGUCCCACCUUCUCAGCCUCCUUGCUCUGGGCUUGGCCGUGCCUGUCCCAUCCCUACUUGUCCCCUCUCCUCUUCCCUGGUCCUUCCUGCCAGAAUGUGAACGUCCUCAACGGCCUCCGGUCAGAGAACAACACAACUUUUCCUUCACACUUGCCGUCUUUCCUGUCCCAGCUAGAAGACUUGGAAAGAACUCCACUUCUGGGAGACAAGAUGCAAAUCAAGUUGAACCUACCCAAAUGUCUGGACUGGGAAAUGUAGCAGCUGUGCACGGUCUCCCCUGUGGACCCUUGGGGUCAACUCUCCACACAGCAGCCAGCGUAAGCUUUGAAAAUCGUGGGCCGAGCCACGUCACCCUCACCCUCUCUCUGGAAGCCCUCAUGUGGCUGUCACACACAGAAUACAAAUCUAACCUCAUCACCACA